CUACGGGGUGCUGCAGUGAGGAAUAUUGGACAAUGGGGGAAACCCUGAUCCAGCAAUGCCGCGUGAAUGAAGAAGGCCUUAGGGUUGUAAAGUUCUUUCACUCGUGAAGAUGAUGACGGUAGCGAGAGAAGAAGCCCCGGCUAACUCUGUGCCAGCAGCCGCGGUAAGACAGAGGGGGCUAGCGUUGUUCGGAAUAACUGGGCGUAAAGGGUGCGUAGGCGGUUGUUUAAGUAAAGUGUUAAAGCCCUGGGCUUAACCCAGGAAUCGCAUUUUAAACUGGACAGCUAGAGUGUGGUAGAGGAAAGUGGAAUUCCUAGUGUAGAGGUGGAAUUCGUAGAUAUUAGGAGGAACACCAGAGGCGAAGGCGGCUUUCUGGACCACAACUGACGCUGAGGCACGAAAGCGUGGGGAGCAAACAGGAUUAGAUACCCUAGUAGUC
RNAcentral lists this ribosomal RNA (439 nucleotides) under uncultured bacterium. RNAcentral's name for it is "partial 16S ribosomal RNA". It matches the Rfam family "Bacterial small subunit ribosomal RNA", at positions 339 to 795 of the family's 1533-position model. The record is from RNAcentral.